GGUUGGCGGUGGUGUGGCCAGCACAGGCUGGGCCCAGGAUGCAGCGGAUACCGUCGCGGAGGGGUUUGAUCCCCUUCGUCCGCCGCC
Molecule: transfer RNA, 87 nt
Filed under: Phaeobacter inhibens
Lineage: Bacteria; Pseudomonadati; Pseudomonadota; Alphaproteobacteria; Rhodobacterales; Roseobacteraceae
Description: tRNA-Ser
Source: RNAcentral